AUUAUCUGUUAUUUUACGAUACAAGGUAUAGUACAAACAUGAUAGCUGACCGCAGGCGCAAAUAUUUACUAUGUCCUAAUUAUAUACCGGUAAAGAUAUGAUAACUGGCAAAUCUAGAAAAAAGAUUCUCACGAAAAACCACAAAACCGAACUUUUAAAUAUGGUUCUGCAAGCUCCAAGUCCUCAGUUGUUGUUUUGAGUGCAAAGAAAAAUGGUCCUAGACACAUAUUUACCACAAAUUUUGGAUAGGGUGAGGACUCACCUCACCCAUGCGGAAAGGAGGCAACAAACCAUAAUCAUGGAGGGGGGGGGGGUUUAAACCCGUCCCCUACCCCAGAGGGGUUUAUAUCGUUGGGGUCGGUGGGCCCAUACGACAUAUUAAUAGAGAAAGACGUCAAUAUAACGGUAUGGUGUCUUAAACGAUGCUGAUUAGUUUAUAUUUUUUUAAUUUUAAUUUUGAAAGAUAUAUUGAUUGAUACCAAUUGGGCAUAAUUAUGAACAUCGAAGAAUCAGCUGACAUGUGAUCAAAACAAUGAAACAAAAUAAUCAUACAUGUUUACUAAAUGAUUCCUCGUUUAUUUAUGUGGCAACUUUAACAUACAUUUUUCAUACUGGUAUAAUAUAAUAGUUAUUUUAUUAGAUAAAAUAUUACUCCAUAGCGGAUUAUUCUAAUAAUUGAUAGAAAUAUGUACACAAAGCAACCACUCUAUCCUUGUGCAGAAAUGUAAUUGAUUUGAAUAAUAAGGAUCUGUCGUUUUUCCGCAAAAGGAAAUGCAGAGAUACCACAUUAUUCCUGAUAAAAAUGCAACAUUGUAACAAAUUAUCAGCUGCUUCGUUCGAAUGAUAGUUCAGGAUAUGAAGCACCGCAAAAGGAAAUGCAGAGAUACCACAUCAUUCCUGAUAAAAAUGCAACAUUGUAACAAAUUAUCAGCUGCUUCGUUCGAAUGAUAGUUCAGGAUAUGAAGCACCGCAAAAAGGAAAUGCAGAGAUACCACAUUAUUCCUGAUAAAAAUGCAACAUUGUAACAAAUUAUCAGCUGCUUCGUUCGAAUGAUAGUUCAGGAUAUGAAGCACUGAUUGAAGUCGUUUUAAAUAAUAUUUUCUAAAAAAAAAAAGCUUGUGGGAGGACGUUGGGUAAGGUCAAGGUAACAUUUUCAUUGGAUAUGAGUAUAUCUCCUAUUUUUUCGCAAUAGAAUCCGAUUGAAUGGGGAGAUAUCCGAAAACUGCAAUGCGUAAUUACUACUAUAUAUAUUUUUUUAGAAGGUGGGACACACAUUCUACAUUUAUCUGUAAAAUAAUCGUUUUCAUAACUCGCAGUAUUUCGCCGUUUAUUCGUUGACCCAAGAGAACAUCGCUCUCAGCCCUCACGAUGACAAACGAUAUCUAGUAUCUGGAACCUUUGAAACACUACCCUGGGACCAUUAUUCCAUCAACAAACGAAAAACAGAAGAACCUGAUGAGCCAAGGAAGAAGAUUACUAUAUUGGAAACACUAUUAACUAUGUAACACUCUGUAAUUGUUUUCCACUAAUUGUAUAAUAAAUAACCAAAUUCAAUUAUUUGUAAA
Molecule: long non-coding RNA, 1565 nt
Organism: Harmonia axyridis
Lineage: Eukaryota; Metazoa; Arthropoda; Insecta; Coleoptera; Coccinellidae
Exons: 4
Source: RefSeq, a predicted model, not a curated record